Molecule: long non-coding RNA, 161 nt
Organism: Asparagus officinalis (garden asparagus)
Lineage: Eukaryota; Viridiplantae; Streptophyta; Magnoliopsida; Asparagales; Asparagaceae
Exons: 2
Source: RefSeq, a predicted model, not a curated record
UGAUCGUGUAGAUCGCGAUCAAUGGCAGGCAAUGGUUAACUAUUGGGACACUGAUCCAAAAAAUAAAGUUAGAUGUGAGAAGAAUAUUGAAAGCCGCAAGAGGCAAAAAAUGAAUCACACUGGUGGCACAAAGAGCUUCGCACGACACAUGGCUGAUUAUG